Molecule: long non-coding RNA, 3610 nt
Organism: Marmota monax (woodchuck)
Lineage: Eukaryota; Metazoa; Chordata; Mammalia; Rodentia; Sciuridae
Exons: 3
Source: RefSeq, a predicted model, not a curated record
UUCAGAGGUCUUAGUCCAUAGAAGGCUGGUUUCAUUUCUUGGGGCUCCAGAUGAGGCACAGCAUCAUGGCAAGAGAGCAUGGCAGAGGGAAUCAGCUCACAUCAGGAAGCAGAGAGCACAGACUCCACUCUCCAGGAAGAAUUUGUCUUCAGUUCCUUAAAAGUGCAGCAAGAUUAAUGGAUUCAUCAAUUCAAUCACUAAUUCAAUAAACACUCUGAGGUCCCUACCAACCAGAACAUGUCAAGGCCUGGCUAACAGGACAAGAGUUUGAAGUGUCUUCCAGUUAUGAUGUCUGAUAACUGAACUGAGUUGGAAUUGUACCAGGCUGAAUGUAACAGAAUAAAGGGAAUAUCUUCAGCUAACAAGAACUUCAGAAGUCAGUAGUCCAAGAUUAAAUCAGAAACUACUCAUGUUAAUCAAAGCCACAGGAUCCCUUGACUUUAUCAACAAACAAUAGACUGGCUUUUCCUUGUAGACAGUCGGUUUUUCCAGGAAACAAGAAGAAAUUAACAGAGUGGUAAGAGGGGUUAUAUUAAAAAAAAAAAAAAAGCAUUUUCACCCUGGAAAUUCUCAAUUGACUUCUCAGUACCCAGAAAAAUAACCACAAAAGAAGUUAAGAAAAAUCUAGAAAGUACAUUACCAUUUCUUUUUCUAUUUUGUUAACAUUAGUAUCAUUCUUACUUUGUAUCCAAAAAAUGAUGUUUACUGUUUUUAUAUACCCAGGUGCCAUCUACAUCAAAAAGUCAGAAAUAUUUCUCUUGAUGAAAUAUACUUCUCAUCUAAAUAUAAAAGACAAUAUAUGUAAAAUAUUUUUGAAGGCUCAUUUCCCCAAAAGGAAUCAUUUUCCAUGAAAAAUAUGAUAUAUAAUUUGCUUAAUAGCUAUGCCAAACAUGUGAUAAAAUUGCACUAUCAAGAAAAUUUUACAAAUGUGAUGUCCCAUUAAUCAACAUUUUGAUGUGUUUCUUGAGCAGUGCUCACAAAGACUGCAUUUUCCUAGACUGGAAAAAUCAUGCUUAUCAUGUAUACCUGUUUUAAAAUUCAGAUGGCAUUCACUUUGUGUUAAAUUCUGAAUCUAAAGAGAAAGAGUUCUAUUUUUAUCCCCCCUCAGCUCAAUUAUGAAUGUAAUUGCUCUGGCCAUUAACUGUAUGAUUACAUGUGCAUCCUUUGUCUUUCAUUGCUUGAUGAAUCUUUUUGACAUGUUAUUUCAAAAGAAGAAUGUACUGAGAGACAAACUUCUCAGGUUGAUGUGAUCCACUUAUAAAAGUUCAAGUUAGUAAUGCAGAAGACUUGGGAAAUGUUUUAUUAUUUUUUAAAGGCCCAAUCAGGAAACAAAAUUCACAAAAUAUUUAAAAGGAAAUACUUAAAGAAUUAUUAACUCUAAGGAGGUUUUCUAUAAAGCAGUAGAGUGCUCUUAAAAAGUACCCCAUGGAAAGUAUACAAGGAAGAAAUCUCUAGGAUUGAACUCAGAUCUCCUUGGAGAAACUGACUGCAGAUCAGUGCAUGGCAGAGAAGGUGUUAACACAGGUAAGAACUUUUCUACAGUUGUUGGAUAAGUAUGAAAAAUCCCUGCAGAGUGCAAGAGAUAAAUAAACAUGACUAUUACUGACAAACAGGAAUUACUCUGAGUUGACAGAAGAGGCAGGUAACCAACCACUGGCUCACUUAGAAGCCUCAUUAGUAAUUCAUUUAUAAUAUACCAUUCAAUUUCAAUGGCAAAUAGUGCACAGGACUCCAACUGAUACAUAAUUAGGGUGAGUGGUGCUGAUACUGUCCACAUAUACUACCCCCACUGUCUCUACAUGCCAGUCACGUGGAGCACAAAGAAAAUAAUGGGAAUCCAAAAAGGGAACUCCUUCUUCUUGUUGUGUCUAUUCAGUACCUACUAAUGUCAAAGCUUAGCAUCACCAGCUGCAAAGGAGACAUUUUUAAAAGGCUCAUCUCAAUUUUUGAAGAGCAAACAAGGAAGGGUACAUUUGUCAAUAUGUUCAUAGCCUACACAGUUCCUAUCAUCAACCUGGGCCCUAGAUGGAAGGUGUAAAAGCUGGGAAAAAGCCAGUAGAGACAAACAUACAGCUUUAAAAUGCAUGAUGUAAGUGCUACUGAUUUAUCUUUAAUUAAACAAAAAUUGCCUCCAGAAUUUACUUUAAAUUUGAUUUUUUGUCAUUUUCAGCAUAUAUUUGUUUACUUGUUGACAGAAAAUGAAAAUCUUAUCUUGGUCAUUAAAACCCAUUGACUACUCCUUUCCUAAUUAAAUAAAUUCAGCAUUCAAACUUAUAGAGAUGCAAAUAGCACAAUAGAAAAAAAUAGCAUAAUGCAAUAAAAACAAUAUAAAAUAGUAACACUUUUGUCAGUAAUGUUGGUAGACUUUAUCAUAGGGCAAUUAUUGAUUAAUUUGCACUUAAAAACAAUAUAAAUUAAUAAAUUGUUAUCCCUAGACAUUUAUGUUUAAUAGCAGUAUGUUUACUGAAAACAGAUUUUGGGCUAGCAUAGAGCAUCUUUUAACCUGAAGAGAGGACUGAGUACUAAAAAAAGUUAAAUAAUCCCUUAUAUAUCAUGACUUCUAUGUAUCUCUGUAUUGAUAGAGAAACUUUUUAAAAAAUGAACUGGGUUACAUUUUCCCUUUUUGGAACUAUCUAAUUACUUUUGAGUACAAUAACUCUUUAAACUCAAAGCAAUUGCUUAUCUUGCCAUAAGUGAGUUUUUAAUAGUAUUUGAUAAAAAUGUAAAACUCUGUCACUUUUUCUCUAGAAUUCAAAUAUACAUCUGAAUCGUUAGCAUUGAUAAGCUUAUGCUUAGGUCUCAGAGCUCAGAGAUGUGCCCUGUGGGCUGGGACCUAUCUUUGAGGACUGGGAACUGACAUUUGUAUUAACGUCUUUUGGGGGAGUCGAGUUAAGUCUUUUCUGGAAACAUUGGGGAAUUGCAAAAUGAAUCUUACUACCACGGGAGAGAAUUGCCACUGUCAGCAUUAAGAAGAUUGACAGAGUGACUCUCAGAGUAACAGGACACAAACAAGCAGAAAAAUAUGGGAAUCAGCAAUCCCUUCUUUCUCCUCCAGAUUUGCAGUAUUUCUGUGGUUCUCACUAUAAGCAGAGUUUAACUUACAGACUGAUGGGAAAAGAAAACUACAAUUUCUGAAUUUUAAAUCCCAGCAUAAUAUAUUAAAUUAUAGAUGUCUAAGUCUGGAGCUGAGAGACAAUAUCUUAAUAAUUACCACAGAUUGUCUUAGAAUUUGACUUGCUCUUUUAUAAUUCAACUGAAUAUUACUGCUUAUUAUAGAAAUGUCAUUAUUCCCAAUUUGCAUAUGUAAGUAUUGACUCUCAAUAUUUAAGUGUUCCAUCCUGGCAUGUCUGCUAUAAUGAACUUCAAAUUUGAAUGCAGUGUUUUCUCUUUCCAUCUAUUUAUCUUCAAGCUGAAAGCCUUGAUAUUGCUGUUAUCUUGAAUGUUGUUACCUCCUUAACUUUAACUCGAGAUUCUCUCAAAAACUUUGGGCAUCUUUAGCAUUAUUCAAUUCCUCAAAUGUUUAAAAUAUCAUGAAUGAACUCUAUCAUUCAUGAAUGUUUUUUGUGGGAGAAAUUUUAAUUAUAAUUUCAUGUCAUUUAUGAAUAUAUUU